UACGGAGGGUGCGAGCGUUGUCCGGAAUUACUGGGCGUAAAGGGCUCGUAGGCGGCCAACUAAGUCGGAUGUGAAAUCCCCAGGCUUAACCUGGGAACUGCAUCCGAUACUGGAUGGCUUGAAUCCGGGAGAGGGAUGCAGAAUUCCAGGUGUAGCGGUGAAAUUCGUAGAUAUCAAGCGGAACACCGGUGGCGAAGGCGGCCUUCUGGACAGUGACUGACGCUGAGACGCGAAAGCGUGGGGAGCAAACAGG
Molecule: ribosomal RNA, 253 nt
Filed under: uncultured bacterium
Lineage: Bacteria
Description: partial 16S ribosomal RNA
Rfam family: Bacterial small subunit ribosomal RNA
Source: RNAcentral